CAUGAAACCGGCGCACGGGUGCGUAACACGUAUGCAACCUACCUUUAACUGGGGUAUAGCUCAGAGAAAUCUGAAUUAAUCCCCCAUAAGACUACGACAUGGCAUCAUGAUGUAGUUAAAGCUCCGGCGGUUAAGGAUGGGCAUGCGGUACAUUAGCUAGUUGGUGAGGUAAUGGCUCACCAAGGCUACGAUGUAUAGGGGGUCUGAGAGGAUGAUCCCCCACACUGGUACUGAGACACGGACCAGACUCC
This 251-nucleotide ribosomal RNA is filed under the name uncultured bacterium. Its description in RNAcentral is "partial 16S ribosomal RNA". It matches the Rfam family "Bacterial small subunit ribosomal RNA", at positions 88 to 339 of the family's 1533-position model. The record is from RNAcentral.